CGGGCAGAGGCUCUUCAUUUUAUUUGGGGUUUGGGUCACAGACCCCCUUGAGAUCCUAUGGACCCUCUCCAAAGAUCAAGUACAGGACAAUGUUUAUUCCAUCUCAGGAGCUCCACAACCCUGGGUUUAAAAGCCCUGCCUAGGAGGUAAAGGGACGGUUGCCGGGUGUACCCCGCACGCAGGCACGCAGGUACUCACUCUCAUUCCUUCACCCAACCGUCACCGAAGGCUCGACUUAAGGCAAAGAUCCCCUUAGUCAUGCUAGCAGCUCCACCCUCAGCAUCCAGCCCUUAACGGGCGCUCAACAGAGAACUGCUGAAUGAAUGCUUGUGCUGACAGGUGCUGUGCUGGGAACAGAGAUGAACAGGGUUGUAAAGGAAACAUUUUGUGAACUGUGGUAUAAAGGCAAUGGAAAAUGCAGGCCUGUUAAGUGACAUAACACAUCCAUUCUUGAAUCCUGCAAAGGAUAUUGUAACAAGAAUUAAAGAUUGUAACUUCAGGUAAAUCAACACAGGAAUAAACGUCCAUGGGUUUAAGCCACCUCUAAAAAUUAUGAGAUGUCUAAUAAUCCUAUGAUUAUGUGGUCUGUUCUGAAAAAGAGUAUUAAACCAAGUGUUUGACUGAGUAUUAAAAAAACAGAUUAUCUAAUGGCUUCCAAGGGGGAAAUAUAAGAAAGACCAUUCAUAAAGUUCCUUAAUAGUAAUAAAUUAUACACACUUCCUUAUUCUACACAUAAAUGGAAAGACAAAGACAAACUAUGAAAGAAAGGAUGUGUUCUCACACCUUCAAAAGGACCACAUUUUAAUUAAAUAAAAUUCCUCCAAAUUGUUUGCUAUCAAUAUAUGAACUUAAUGUUCUUUUCAAAUGAGCACCAGAAAAAUGCUUAUCAAGUUGUAAAAUGUCUCAGUUUUUCUUAAUAUUCAAAAUGCCAACUUCAGAGUCUUGAUUUUUAGAAUGUAUUUGUUUUAUAUGAUAGUCGAAAUACAAACUGGGAAAAAAGGCCCAAAAUGCAAAAUUCAUCCUGAUUUAUGUUGCCAUUAUUCAAAUAUAGAAGAUUAGACUAAACCUUGAAAAUUCAAGUUAUCUCAUUUUAAAUUUUAUUUAAAUCAUCUCUAUGAUUGUGGCAUUCAUAUUAAAGGACAGAUCAUAACCUGUGGAUAUAAAUUGACACUUGGAGAAUAAAGCAGUUAAGUAACAUUCUCCAAAUGUCAAAAAUUUUGUAGUA
Long non-coding RNA from Manis pentadactyla (Chinese pangolin), 1225 nucleotides. RefSeq lists it as uncharacterized. The transcript is spliced from 3 exons. Lineage: Eukaryota; Metazoa; Chordata; Mammalia; Pholidota; Manidae. The record is from RefSeq and is a predicted model, not a curated record.